Molecule: ribosomal RNA, 467 nt
Filed under: uncultured bacterium
Lineage: Bacteria
Description: partial 16S ribosomal RNA
Rfam family: Bacterial small subunit ribosomal RNA
Source: RNAcentral
GACGAACGCUGGCGGCGUGCUUAACACAUGCAAGUCGAACGGAAAGGCCCUGCUUUUGUGGGGUGCUCGAGUGGCGAACGGGUGAGUAACACGUGAGUAACCUGCCCUUGACUUUGGGAUAACUUCAGGAAACUGGGGCUAAUACCGGAUAGGAGCUCCUGCUGCAUGGUGGGGGUUGGAAAGUUUCGGCGGUUGGGGAUGGACUCGCGGCUUAUCAGCUUGUUGGUGGGGUAGUGGCUUACCAAGGCUUUGACGGGUAGCCGGCCUGAGAGGGUGACCGGCAAAUUUGGACUUGGGUAAGGGCCCGGACUCCAAGGGAGGCAGCAGUGGGGAAUAUUGCACAAUGGGCGGAAGCCUGAUGCAGCAACGCCGCGUGCGGGAUGACGGCCUUCGGGUUGUAAACCGCUUUCGCCUGUGACGAAGCGUGAGUGACGGUAAAGGGUAAAGAAGCACCGGCUAACUACGUG